This 468-nucleotide ribosomal RNA is filed under the name uncultured bacterium. Its description in RNAcentral is "partial 16S ribosomal RNA". It matches the Rfam family "Bacterial small subunit ribosomal RNA", at positions 28 to 507 of the family's 1533-position model. The record is from RNAcentral.
GACGAACGCUGGCGGCGUGCUUAACACAUGCAAGUCGAACGGAUAGGCCCUGCUUUUGUGGGGUGCUCGCGUGGCGAACGGGUGAGUAACACGUGAGUUAACUGCCCUUGCCCUUGUGAUAACUCCCGUAAAAUGGGGCCUAUUCCGGAUAGGAGUUCCUGUUGCACGGUGUGGGUCGGAAAGUUUCGGCGGUUUGGGAUGGACUCGCGGCUUAUCAGCUUGUUGGUGGGGUAGUGGCUUACGAAGGCUUUGGCGGGUAGCCGGCCUGAGUGGGUGAGCGGCCAGAUUGGGACUGAGGUGCGGCCCAGACUCGUACGGGAGGCAGCAGUGGGGAGUAGUGCGCUGUGGGCGGAAGGCGGGUGCAGCAACGCCGCGUGCGGGAUGACGGCCUUCGGGUUGUAAACCGCGUUCGCCUGUGACGAGGCGUGAGUGACGUUGAUGGGUAAAGAAGCACCGGCUAACUACGUG